Microcebus murinus (gray mouse lemur) is the source of this 473-nucleotide long non-coding RNA. RefSeq lists it as uncharacterized. The record is from RefSeq and is a predicted model, not a curated record. NCBI's taxonomy places the organism in Eukaryota, Metazoa, Chordata, Mammalia, Primates, Cheirogaleidae.
ACUGAGCGCGGGUUGCGAGGCGGACGUGACGUCACAAAGCGACUGCUCCUCCCAGGUUCCGCCCCAGGGCGCGCAACGCACGCUGGCCCUUGUAGUCCUUGGGGCGCGGAGCCCGGCCGUGACACAGGUACCUGCGCUUGGAGACCACCAGCAGCCUCUGGCGACACGCUUAGCGACGCGAGAAACAGUUCCAAGGAAAAGGACCACAGCCCUCCUCCAUGGCAGGUGCGGCAAGUGUAAUUCGUUGUAGUUCGGUCUCCUCAGUUCCCAACCCCACCACUAUCCAGCCGGUUCAUGGAGAGGAGAGGUGCACUUGGCAGGUCCCUGAUGAACCAAGAGAACCCUCCACCGUAUCCUGGCCCUGGUCCAAUGGCCCCAUACCCACCUUAUCUACAACCACCAAUGAGUCCAGGACCUGUGGGGGUACCCUACCUGCCUCCUCAGGGGUACCCUAAGGAUACCGACAGUAUGGC